This 492-nucleotide ribosomal RNA is filed under the name uncultured bacterium. RNAcentral describes it as "bacterial SSU rRNA". It matches the Rfam family "Bacterial small subunit ribosomal RNA", at positions 15 to 518 of the family's 1533-position model. The record is from RNAcentral.
GAUCCUGGCUCAGAACGAACGCUGGUGGCGUGUCUUAUACAUGCAAGUCGAGCGAGGCAGCAAUGCCGAGCGGCGAACGGGUGAGUAACGCGUAAGCAAUCUGCCCCAUAUCAGGAAAUACCCGCGCCAACGCGCGGUUAAUGUCCAGGAGAGUGGCCCUCCGCAUGGAGGGUUGACUAGAGAUUUAUCGGUAUGGGAUGAGCUUGCGUCCGAUUAGCUAGUUGGCGGGGCAACGGCCCACCAAGGCGACGAUCGGUAGCCGGCCUGAGAGGGUGAUCGGCCACAUUGGGACUGAGAUACGGCCCAGACUCCUACGGGAGGCAGCAGUAGGGAAUAUUGCACAAUGGGGGAAACCCUGAUGCAGCAACGCCCACGUGUGGGAAGAAGCAUUUCGGUGUGUAAACCACUGUCAUGAGGGAAUAAGGCCCGCCUUCGGACGGGAUUGAAUGUACCUUGAAAGGAAGCACCGGCAAACUUCGUGCCAGCCGCCGC